UACGGGGGGGUAAGCGUUGUUCGGAAUUACUGGGCGUAAAGGGCUCGUAGGCGGCCAACUAAGUCAUACGUGAAAUCCCUCAGCUUAACUGGGGAACUGCGUGUGAUACUGGAUGGCUUGGAUGUGGGAGAGGGAUGCGGAAUUCCAGGUGUAGCGGUGAAAUGCGUAGAUAUCUGGAGGAACACCGGUGGCGAAGGCGGCAUCCUGGACCAUUAUUGACGCUGAGGAGCGAAAGCCAGGGGAGCAAACGGG
RNAcentral lists this ribosomal RNA (252 nucleotides) under uncultured bacterium. RNAcentral describes it as "partial 16S ribosomal RNA". It matches the Rfam family "Bacterial small subunit ribosomal RNA", at positions 524 to 776 of the family's 1533-position model. The record is from RNAcentral.